RNAcentral lists this ribosomal RNA (466 nucleotides) under uncultured bacterium. RNAcentral's name for it is "partial 16S ribosomal RNA". It matches the Rfam family "Bacterial small subunit ribosomal RNA", at positions 28 to 506 of the family's 1533-position model. The record is from RNAcentral.
GAUGAACGCUGGCGGCGUGCUUAACACAUGCAAGUCGAACGGAAAGGCCCAAGCUUGCUUGGGUACUCGAGUGGCGAACGGGUGAGUAACACGUGGGUGAUCUGCCCUGCACUUCGGGAUAAGCCUGGGAAACUGGGUCUAAUACCGGAUAGGACCACAUUUUGGAUGGUGUGGUGGAAAGUUUUUCGGUGUGGGAUGAGCUCGCGGCCUAUCAGCUUGUUGGUGGGGUAAUGGCCUACCAAGGCGUCGACGGGUAGCCGGCCUGAGAGGGUGUACGGCCACAUUGGGACUGAGAUGCGGCCCAGACUCCUACGGGAGGCAGCAGUGGGGAAUAUUGCACAAUGGGCGCAAGCCUGAUGCAGCGACGCCGCGUGGGGGAUGACGGCCUUCGGGUUGUAAACUCCUUUCGCUAGGGACGAAGCGUUUUUGUGACGGUACCUGGAGAAGAAGCACCGGCUAACUACGU